This 843-nucleotide long non-coding RNA is filed under the name Homo sapiens (human). Its description in RNAcentral is "HSALNT0365251". Lineage: Eukaryota; Metazoa; Chordata; Mammalia; Primates; Hominidae. The record is from RNAcentral.
AUUGUUUGUUCUCACAAUGAAUCUGAGUAGUAGAUAUAGCAUGCCCAUUUUCCAGGUAAGGAAACUGAGGGUUAGAGAGAUUCUGUAACUUGUGCAAGGUUAUAGGCUCUAAGUAGCAGAUUAGUUCUGACUGGAGGCCAGCGUUUCCUCGGGCCUCUGUGACAUCACAACGCAAUGGGAGUAUGACUUGGGCAGCUCCAGCUGGCUCCUCUGCUAGUCUUGCCGCAGUCACCAGUUUUGGAGGAAUGGGAGAGGAGCUUUCCACUCCUCUGAGAGUCAUGUCGAGAGUCUGUCUUAGCCCUCGACCCCUCAGUCUUUGUAGAUCUCAUCCCAGAACCCCGAGGGAGAGGAGAAGUUCUGGUCUCUCCUCGGUGCUGCGGCUGCCCCGGGAAGAGUUUCCAGGAGCUGACAAGCAUUCAGAUGAGUAAAGAUGGGAUCGGAUUGAGAAAAGGAGAAGGGAGAGCAUAUUCGUUCUCUUUCCACCUCCCUCCCACAGCCUUUCAUGCUGAUCUCAUCUGACGAAGCUGCCUCCUCCUCCCUGGACUCUACAAGCCCCUGUCAUGAUGUUUCUCAGAUCCUGAAUUCCAGCGAAACAGAUGAUACUAACAAGUUUGAAGACCCCCACAGAGGAAUGGAAUCAGUAUGAGAACACAGUUUCUUCAUCUCCCUGUCCCAGAACUUCACCCUGGACUCCUCGACCAAUCAACAAUCUCCACACUUCGGCCCACUCCAAAACUCCUAAAAUCCCAAGCUCCAAACUCCUCUGGGAGAUGGAUUUGAGGCUUCCUCCCGUUUCCUUGUGUGGAAGCCCUGUCAUUAAACCUCUUUCUCUGCUGCAACCUG